This 1879-nucleotide long non-coding RNA is filed under the name Equus caballus (horse). RNAcentral's name for it is "lncRNA (ENSECAG00000048550.1)". Lineage: Eukaryota; Metazoa; Chordata; Mammalia; Perissodactyla; Equidae. The record is from RNAcentral.
CUUAAACCUAUGCUACUCCAAGUGUGGGCCGUGGACUAACAGCAUGGGUGUCACCUGGAAAUUAGUUAGAAAUGCAAAAUCUUGGGCUCCAUCCCAGACCUACUGAAUCAGAGUCUGCCUUCUAACUAGAGCCCCAACGGGUGUGCAUGCACAGUAGCAUUUGAGCAAAUCCCAGACUUCACAUGUGGCACGUGAUUGGCAAUGCGCAUCUUUGAUAUAGAGAGACUAUCUUCCAUAACCACCAGGCCAUUAUCACAACUAGUGAAAUAAACAGUAACUCCCAUUCUGAAAUGAGGAGACAGCCCCAGAGAGGUUCUGCUCCUUGGCCCAGGUCCAAGAGUCAUCAGAACCCCAGAUUCCAGCUAGGAAUGUAGAGUAGCAUUUGAACCCAGACCCUUCUGGCCACACUCCUUUCUUCCCUUCACCCUCACUAUACUGAGGGGCUUUUAGCUAAGGCUGUUGCCUUCCUUUAUCAAGGGCAGUCCAGAGCCCUUUGCAGAGAGCUUUGUAGACACCAGACUCAUGGGCUGCUUGCUCCCUCUCUCUGAAUGACUAGAGUGGCAACAGCAAUGCCUUGGAUGAUGACCAGAUGACCAGAUGACCAUGGUCAACCUCUCAGUCAGCAUAUAAUGAUGUGAGAACAGAGGGAACUGCUAGCUGCUGGGGCAGGGGCCGGCCUAUAUCCAGAGCUGACUUGCCACGGACGUGUUGUGGGCUGGGCCAGCCCCUCCCUUCCUUGGAACCUCUGCCUCCUUCUCCGAGAGGCCAGGUAAUGUGAGCUGGGGCCCUGGUCCCAAGGCAGUGGAGUGUGCCAUGUGCACCGUCACAAUGCCCAGCUGGUGGGCCAUUCUGGGUGCUAGCUUGGUGGUGUUUGCUGAGUAACCUCAUUCCUCCUCCCUGUCUGGACUCCAGCAGGGAGCUGUGUGGUGAGGAGCACCUGCUUGCUAGGAGGUACCGAAUCAGAAAUGGAGGAUGGGUUCUUUGAGUUCACUCUGAUGAAGCAGAAUCCGGCCUAGUAUUCUUGAGGUCCUGCAGGGGCCUGGUCCUAUUCUGGGGGCCCUGGGGGAGCCCAGGGAAGGGCAAGUCUGGACAUGACCCUCUGGGGGGCUGGCAGGCUGAAGUGGAGGGAGAACUUGAAGAAGACCCUUCCCUGUCAUCGGUUCAAGUUGUGCAAACUCCUCAUUUUAUGGACAGGAAACUGAGGCAGCACAGGAUGAACUCGAGGUGUCUCAGGGCUUCUCUGGCUCUAAUGGUGGAGGUGCUGUGUCCUGCCCAGAUGAACGGCCAUGAAUGUGCUAAUGGGAAUGCUCCCCCACCCAUCCGCUGAGCUCACCCCAUCAGUAACAGGGCAGCUGUGGCUGUAGGCUCAGGGGUCAGGUGGCCAGGGCUGAAGCCCUCACUCUGUCUCUCACCAGGCAUGGACCUCAGGUGACAUGUGGAGUAGCUUUGAGUCUUGGCUGCCUCUGUGGAACUAGGGAGUGAUCAUCAUAGCUCCCACCUCAGAGCACAGUCCGGAGGAGUGACUGUGGACUAUGACUUCACUGCAGCUGGGACAGUCUCCAGCACCUAAUGCAGGCCCUGCCUGCUAGUGGUUCCCAGGGAAUAUUAGUCAAGUGAUUGAAAGGUGCUGCCUGUCGGUAUACAGUAAAUGUCAACUGAGUGCAGGUUUACUGCAACAGGAGGUCAGGGCUGGAUGCCCACAUUGCACAUCUGCAGGCCAUGGUGAUGAGGAAAUGUGUACUCUAAGAGGUGAGGCUUAGUCCUGGCCUCAGAGGAUGCUGCACAGGCAGAGAAGAGAGAAGCAUUUUAAUUGCUUUCCAAAAUUAUUUAUUAACGUGCUUGACUUAGUGGAAGGCUGUCAAUCUCAGGAAGACCUUCA